AGCGAACGCUGGCGGCAGGCUUAACACAUGCAAGUCGAGCGGGCAUCCUUGUGGUGUCAGCGGCAGACGGGUGAGUAACGCGUGGGAACGUGCCCUUCGGUUCGGAAUAACUCAGGGAAACUUGAGCUAAUACCGGAUACGCCCUUUUGGGGAAAGGUUUACUGCCGAAGGAUCGGCCCGCGUCUGAUUAGCUAGUUGGUGAGGUUAUGGCUCACCAAGGCGACGAUCAGUAGCUGGUCUGAGAGGAUGAUCAGCCACACUGGGACUGAGACACGGCCCAGACUCCUACGGGAGGCAGCAGUGGGGAAUAUUGGACAAUGGGGGCAACCCUGAUCCAGCCAUGCCGCGUGAGUGAUGACGGCCUUAGGGUUGUAAAGCUCUUUUCUCCGUGACGAUAAUGACGGUACCGGAGGAAUAAGCCCCGGCUAACUUCGUG
Molecule: ribosomal RNA, 436 nt
Filed under: uncultured bacterium
Lineage: Bacteria
Description: partial 16S ribosomal RNA
Rfam family: Bacterial small subunit ribosomal RNA
Source: RNAcentral